UCCGGUUCUUCACCAGCAGUCUCCUUAGAGUCCCCACCAUGACGUGUUGGCAACUAAGGAUAAGGGUUGCGCUCGUUACGGGACUUAACCCAACAUCUCACAACACGAGCUGACGACAGCCAUGCAGCACCUGUCUCAUAGUUCCUUUCGGCACUUCCGCAUCUCUGCAGAAUCCUAUGGAUGUCAAGAGUAGGUAAGGUUCUUCGCGUUGCAUCGAAUUAAACCACAUGCUCCACCGCUUGUGCGGGCCCCCGUCAAUUUCUUUGAGUUUUAACCUUGCGGCCGUACUCCCCAGGCGGAUGACUUAUCGCGUUAGCUUCGAUACUAAGGGGCUACGCCCCACAACAUCUAGUCAUCAUCGUUUACGGCGUGGACUAC
Molecule: unclassified non-coding RNA, 378 nt
Filed under: uncultured Gammaproteobacteria bacterium
Lineage: Bacteria; Pseudomonadati; Pseudomonadota; Gammaproteobacteria
Description: contains 16S-23S intergenic spacer region
Source: RNAcentral